Molecule: ribosomal RNA, 253 nt
Filed under: Ohtaekwangia sp.
Lineage: Bacteria; Pseudomonadati; Bacteroidota; Cytophagia; Cytophagales; Fulvivirgaceae
Also listed under: 4 other names
Description: partial 16S ribosomal RNA
Rfam family: Bacterial small subunit ribosomal RNA
Source: RNAcentral
UACGUAGGUGGCAAGCGUUGUCCGGAUUUAUUGGGUUUAAAGGGUGCGUAGGCGGCCUAUUAAGUCAGUUCUGAAAUAUCCCGGCUUAACCGGGAGGGUGGGAUUGAUACUGAUGGGCUUGAGUGGAAUCGAGGUAGGCGGAAUUGACGGUGUAGCGGUGAAAUGCUUAGAUAUCGUCAAGAACACCGAUAGUGUAGACAGCUUACUAGACUUCAACUGACGCUGAGGCACGAAAGUGUGGGGAUCAAACAGG